UUGAACGCUGGCGGCAUGCCUUACACAUGCAAGUCGAACGGCAUCGCGGGAAAGCUUGCUUUCCUGGCGGCGAGUGGCGAACGGGUGAGUAACACAUCGGAACGUACCGGCUAGUGGGGAUAAACCCGUCGAAAGACGGGCUAAUACCGCAUACGCUCUUCGGAGGAAAAGCAGGGGACCUUUGGGCCUUGCGCUAGCCGAGCGGCCGAUGUCCGAUUAGCUAGUUGGUGGGGUAAAGGCCUACCAAGGCGACGAUCGGUAGCGGGUCUGAGAGGACGAUCCGCCACACUGGGACUGAGACACGGCCCAGACUCCUACGGGAGGCAGCAGUGGGGAAUCUUGGACAAUGGGGGCAACCCUGAUCCAGCAAUGCCGCGUGGGUGAAGAAGGCCUUCGGGUUGUAAAGCCCUUUCGGCAGGGAAGAAAUCGGCGGGGCGAAUAACCCUGCUGGAUGACGGUACCUGCAGAAGAAGCACCGGCUAACUACGUG
Molecule: ribosomal RNA, 490 nt
Filed under: uncultured bacterium
Lineage: Bacteria
Description: bacterial SSU rRNA
Rfam family: Bacterial small subunit ribosomal RNA
Source: RNAcentral